Mytilus californianus (California mussel) is the source of this 336-nucleotide long non-coding RNA. RefSeq lists it as uncharacterized. The record is from RefSeq and is a predicted model, not a curated record. NCBI's taxonomy places the organism in Eukaryota, Metazoa, Mollusca, Bivalvia, Mytilida, Mytilidae. The transcript is spliced from 3 exons.
CUUGUCUAAAUUUACACAGACGGAGACUCCUAAGCAGUGAAAAGCAAAACAAAAGAAACAGCCUCUUGAAGUUUUGAAAUCAUGGCAGUAAUAUACAGCCGUGUAAACGAAGGUAUCAUGGAACAAUUAGAAAUAAAUGUGCGAAGAGAGUUAUCCAGUACCAACACAACAUACCUUAGAGAAAUUGGUGGCAUACUUGAGGUCUCCAUUCCAGUUAAAGACAUUGGAUUGCAUCAAGUAUUGACAUUUUCAAAUGCAACCACUGUGCACUUCAAAAGAUGUUCCACAAAAGCAAGUGCUGUAUUUCAGUUAUCUUUGGAGGACAGAUGUUCAAAC